CUACGGGGCGCAGCAGUGGGGAAUAUUGGACAAUGGGGGAAACCCUGAUUCAGCAAUGCCGCGUGUGUGAAGAAGGCCUGCGGGUUGUAAAGCACUUUCGGUUGGGAGGACUGCUUCUAGCACUAAUAUUGUUGGAAGUUGACGUUACCUUCAGAAGAAGCACCGGCUAACUCCGUGCCAGCAGCCGCGGUAAUACGGAGGGUGCAGGCGUUAAUCGGAAUUACUGGGCGUAAAGCGCGCGUAGGCGGCUAGAUCAGUCGGGUGUGAAAGCCCCGGGCUUAACCUGGGAACUGCAUCCGAUACUGUCUAGCUUGAGUACAGGAGAGGAGAGUGGAAUUCCACAUGUAGCGGUGAAAUGCGUAGAUAUGUGGAGGAACACCAAUGGCGAAGGCAGCUCUCUGGCCUGAUACUGACGCUGAGGUGCGAAAGCGUGGGGAGCAAACAGGAUUAGAUACCCUUGUAGUC
RNAcentral lists this ribosomal RNA (465 nucleotides) under uncultured bacterium. Its description in RNAcentral is "partial 16S ribosomal RNA". It matches the Rfam family "Bacterial small subunit ribosomal RNA", at positions 339 to 795 of the family's 1533-position model. The record is from RNAcentral.